RNAcentral lists this ribosomal RNA (292 nucleotides) under uncultured bacterium. RNAcentral describes it as "partial 16S ribosomal RNA". It matches the Rfam family "Bacterial small subunit ribosomal RNA", at positions 505 to 796 of the family's 1533-position model. The record is from RNAcentral.
GUGUCAGCCGCCGCGGUAACACGUAGGGGACGAGCGUUGUCCGGAUUCAUUGGGCGUAAAGCGCGCGUAGGCGGCUCGGAAAGUCGGGUGUGAAAGUCCGGGGCUCAACCCCGGGACUGCAUCCGAUACUUCCGGGCUGGAGGUAGGUAGGGGAGAUCGGAAUUCCUGGUGUAGCGGUGAAAUGCGCAGAUAUCAGGAGGAACACCGGUGGCGAAGGCGGAUCUCUGGGCCUUACCUGACGCUGAGGCGCGAAAGCUAGGGGAGCGAACAGGAUUAGAAACCCUAGUAGUCC